Molecule: ribosomal RNA, 440 nt
Filed under: uncultured bacterium
Lineage: Bacteria
Description: partial 16S ribosomal RNA
Rfam family: Bacterial small subunit ribosomal RNA
Source: RNAcentral
CUACGGGUGGCAGCAGUGGGGAAUACUGCACAAUGGGGGAAACCCUGAUGCAGCGACGCCGCGUGAGCGAGGAAGUAUUUCGGUAUGUAAAGCUCUGUCAGCAGGGGAGAAGAAUGACGGUACCUGAAGCAGAAGCACCGGCUAAAUACGUGCCAGCAGCCGCGGUAAUACGCAUGGUGCAAGCGUUAUCCGGAUUUACGGGGUGUAAAGGGAGCGCAGGCGGUUCUGCAAGUCUGAUGUGAAAGCCCGGGGCUCAACCGCGGGAGUGCAUUGGAAACUGGGGGACUGGAGUGUCGGAGGGGUAAGCGGAAUGCCUGGUGUAGCGGUGAAAUGCGUAGAUAUCGGGAGGAACACCGGUGGCGAAGGCGGCAUACUGGAGGAGGACUGACGCUGAGGCUCGAAAGCGUGGGGAGCAAACAGGAUUAGAUACCCCAGUAGUC